AGGCUCUCCUGGAUUCUGUUCAGCGUGGUGCGUAAUCUGCUACUACUGAGGCCCAAUCCUGUCGAUUCAAACGUGUCAUUUCGGCCAAAAAAUGUAUAGACUGCAUACAGAUAGUAGUCGAAGAGCUGGGACAUGAAGUGGAUGACAUCAAAUGCAAUUGGCUUGAGAAUGUUCAUCAUCUGCAUAUACUUCCCAACAAGCCUUACUACAUUGAGUGUAGUGUUUGUCAGGAUAGGUGCAUUCCCCUUAUUGAGGCUAUAAUCCGAUUUCUUUCUGCUC
RNAcentral lists this long non-coding RNA (279 nucleotides) under Gallus gallus (chicken). Lineage: Eukaryota; Metazoa; Chordata; Aves; Galliformes; Phasianidae. The record is from RNAcentral.